AUGCAAACGAGUGAACAUACCAACAGGAAGGUUAUGGCGAUAAUGGCGUUCUUUCGAGGAAGAGGUCUUUCUUCACUGCCAUAUACAGCAAAGAAGAUUAGCAACAUGGGCACGAAAAUGAGAAGAGAUAACGGAAUGAAUGACAUGAUGCAAGUGGUCUCAUUUUUUGAACAGAAAAAGUCAGAAGAUCCUCUAUUCUUCUACUCAUUCAAAACAGAUCCAGCUAAGAACGUCAUGCAUAUAUUUUGGGCAGACGGCACUGGUAUAAGGAACUAUCAACAAUAUGGUGAUCUCCUAAGUUUUGACACAACUUACAAAACAAAUAAGUAUAACCUGAAGUUUGCUCCAUUUGUGGGUGUAAAUGGACACGGAGACAACUGCCUCUUUGCAUGUGGUUUUAUACAAGAUGAGAAGAAAGAAACUUUUGAGUGGUUGUACAAAACUUUUCUGAAGUGCAUGGGAGGAAAAGCUCCAAAAUCUGUGAUAACAGAUCAAGAUGCAGCUAUGAAAAAGGCAGUUCCUAAGUGUUUUCCUAGUUGCACGCACAGGAACUGUUUGUUUCACAUUCUAACAAAAGCGCAGAACAAAGCUAGGAGAACAUUUGCAAGGAAUGAGCAUUUCAAUGCUCAGUUUCACGACAUAAUCCUAAACUCACAAACAGUUGAGGAGUUCGAGCACCUCUGGCCCCAGAUGAUACAGCAACACAAUGUUCAACAUAUCAAGUACUUUGGGAUUAUGUGGAAAAACAGAAAGAGAUUUGUACCUGCGUACUUCAAGAAUGACUUUUUCCCGUUCAUCCAGUCAACAGCAAGAAGUGAAGGUACAAAUGCUGUAUUCAAAGCAAAUGUAGGGUCAAGUCAUAGUGUGAUUGCUUUCAUGACAGAGUUUGACAGGAUAUCACAGAGCAUU
This 909-nucleotide ribosomal RNA is filed under the name Triticum aestivum (bread wheat). RNAcentral describes it as "partial small subunit ribosomal RNA". The record is from RNAcentral. Lineage: Eukaryota; Viridiplantae; Streptophyta; Magnoliopsida; Poales; Poaceae.